Molecule: ribosomal RNA, 424 nt
Filed under: uncultured bacterium
Lineage: Bacteria
Description: bacterial SSU rRNA
Rfam family: Bacterial small subunit ribosomal RNA
Source: RNAcentral
UAAGGAAUCUUCCACAAUGGACGAAAGUCUGAUGGAGCAACACCGCGUGCAGGAUGACGGCUUUAGGGUUGUAAACUGCUUUUAUAGAUGAAGAUUAUGACGGUAAUCUAUGAAUAAGGACCGGCUAACUACGUGCCAGCAGCCGCGGUAAUACGUAGGGUCCAAGCGUUAUCCGGAAUCACUGGGCGUAAAGCGUGCGUAGGCGGCGUGUUAAGUGUGAUGUUAAAUCGUGUGGCUCAACCAUAUCGAUGCAUCGCAUACUGGCAUGCUUGAGGAAGGCAGAGGCAAGUGGAACUAGUAGUGUAGCAGUGAAAUGCGUAGAGAUUACUAAGAACACCAAUGGCGAAGGCAGCUUGCUGGGCCUUUUCUGACGCUGAGGUACGAAAGCGUGGGGAGCGAACAGGAUUAGAUACCCGCGUAGUCC